GGUCUGGUGGUGUAGUUGGUUAUCACGUCAGUCUAACAGCUUCGAGAGACUCGCCUCUCUCUUGGCUAGCACACUGAAGGUCUCCGGUUCAAGUCCGGGCUAGAUCA
Non-coding RNA from Colletotrichum navitas, 107 nucleotides. NCBI's taxonomy places the organism in Eukaryota, Fungi, Ascomycota, Sordariomycetes, Glomerellales, Glomerellaceae. The record is from the annotation of a RefSeq genome assembly.